This 253-nucleotide ribosomal RNA is filed under the name uncultured bacterium. Its description in RNAcentral is "partial 16S ribosomal RNA". It matches the Rfam family "Bacterial small subunit ribosomal RNA", at positions 524 to 776 of the family's 1533-position model. The record is from RNAcentral.
UACAGAGGUCUCGAGCGUUAGGCGGAAUCACUGGGCUUAAAGCGUGUGUAGGUGGAUCGUUAAGUACCUUGUGAAAUCCCACGGCUUAACCGUGGAACUGCUUGGUAUACUGGCGGUCUUGAGUCAGCUAGGGGCUACCGGAACAAAUGGUGGAGCGGUGAAAUGCGUAGAUAUCGGGAGGAACACCAGUGGCGAAGGCGACUUCCUGGCCUGUUCUUGACGCUGAGGCGCGAAAGCUAGGGUAGCAAACGGG